GAUGAACGCUGGCGGCGUGCCUAAUACAUGCAAGUCGAGCGAACGGACGAGAAGCUUGCUUCUCUGAUAUUAGCGGCGGACGGGUGAGUAACACGUGGAUAACCUACCUAUAAGACUGGGAUAACUUCGGGAAACCGGAGCUAAUACCGGAUAAUAAUUUUAACCGUAUGGUUCAAAAGUAAAAGAUGGACUUGCUGUAACUUAUGAAUGUAUCCGCGUUGCAUUAGCUAGUUGGUAAGGAAACGGCUUACAAAGGCAAGGAUGCAAACCGAACCUGGAGGGGUGAUCGCCAAAAUGGGAACGGGGACACGGUCAAGACUCCUACGGGAGGCAGCGGAAGGGAAUCUUCCGCAAUGGGCGAAAGCCUGACGGAGCAACGCGGCGGGGUGAAUGAAGUUCUUCGGAUCUUAAAACUCUGUUAUUAGGGAAGACCAUAUGUGUAAGUAACUGUGCACAUCUUGACGGUACCUAAUCAGAAAGCCACGGCUAACUACGUG
Molecule: ribosomal RNA, 497 nt
Filed under: uncultured bacterium
Lineage: Bacteria
Description: partial 16S ribosomal RNA
Rfam family: Bacterial small subunit ribosomal RNA
Source: RNAcentral